CCCUUGCGGAAGUAGAGCUGUCCUCCGACAGGCCAACUGUAAUUAAGGCAGACUAGGACCUCAAUGUGUUACCAAAGACAUUUUUGGAGUCAUUUUUGUCUUAUAAACCAACACUGAGGCAAAGACGGCAGGCAGGAAAAUCCUCUAACUAGUCCCAGGCCAGGUCUGUAAGGUUAUUAGCGGGAAGUAACGAUAAAGCCCAAGAGGAAAAAUGAGGGACACAAAGUCUGGUUGGACGUGAGUGUGAACGCUGUGGGACGCACUUUGAACGUUCAACAUGGGGAGAAACAGGAAGCAGCUCUGAUCCAAUCAGAGCGCAGCGUUUUGUCACAGUGAAGCCGACGCCUCGACGUGUUGCUGUGCCGUCGUCGUGGCAACAGGCUCAGCGAAUAAUCCCGUUAGAUGCUUGAGUGUUUGCACGUGGACGGCCUCCACCAGCUGGCGCCGCAAUCCGGUGGGGACGGCGGGACAGGAGGACGACCUUUGACCCCUCCACCCAGAUGAACCCAGAAUGUUCCCAUCAUGGACCCUGGUUCUGGUUCUGGUUCUGGUUUCGGUUCCGCCUCAGACCCAGCUGCAGUCUGACCAAACUGGACCGGACCGGGGAUCCAGUGUCUCCCUGACCCCGGGUCGCC
This is a long non-coding RNA of Gambusia affinis (western mosquitofish), 635 nucleotides long. RefSeq lists it as uncharacterized. The record is from RefSeq and is a predicted model, not a curated record. The transcript has 4 exons. Lineage: Eukaryota; Metazoa; Chordata; Actinopteri; Cyprinodontiformes; Poeciliidae.